GAUGAACGCUGGCGGCAGGCUUAACACAUGCAAGUCGAGGGGUAUAGGUUUUUGGACCUAGAGACCGGCGCACGGGUGCGUAACGCGUAUGCAAUUUACCUUUCACAGAGGGAUAGCCCAGAGAAAUUUGGAUUAAUACCUCAUAGUAUAAUGACUUGGCAUCGAGACAUUAUUAAAGUCACAACGGUGAAAGAUGAGCAUGCGUCCCCUUAGUUAGUUGGUAAGGUAACGGCUUACCAAGACUACGAUGGGUAGGGGUCCUGAGAGGGAGAUCCCCCCCCCUGGUACUGAGACACGGACCAGACUCCUACGGGAGGCAGCAGUGAGGAAUAUUGGACAAUGGGCGCAAGCCUGAUCCAGCCCUGCCGCGUGCAGGAUGAAGCAUUUAUGGUGUGUAAACUGCUUUUGUACGAGAAGAAACACUAGUUUGUGAACUAGCUUGACGGUAUUGUAAGAAUAAGGACCGGCUAACUCCGUG
Molecule: ribosomal RNA, 478 nt
Filed under: uncultured bacterium
Lineage: Bacteria
Description: bacterial SSU rRNA
Rfam family: Bacterial small subunit ribosomal RNA
Source: RNAcentral